This 88-nucleotide transfer RNA is filed under the name Rhodospirillaceae bacterium. Its description in RNAcentral is "tRNA-Ser". It matches the Rfam family "tRNA". From Rfam's summary of the family: Transfer RNA (tRNA) molecules are approximately 80 nucleotides in length. Their secondary structure includes four short double-helical elements and three loops (D, anti-codon, and T loops). The record is from RNAcentral. RNAcentral also lists the same sequence under 1 other name. Lineage: Bacteria; Pseudomonadati; Pseudomonadota; Alphaproteobacteria; Rhodospirillales; Rhodospirillaceae.
GGAGAGGUGCCGGAGUGGUCGAACGGGGCGGUCUCGAAAACCGUUGUGCGCUAGCGUACCCAGGGUUCGAAUCCCUGUCUCUCCGCCA